GACGAACGCUGGCGGCGUGCUUAACACAUGCAAGUCGAACGGAAAGGCCCUGCUUUUGUGGGGUGCUCGAGUGGCGAACGGGUGAGAAACACGUGAGUAACCUGCCCUUGACUUUGGGAUAACUUCAGGAAACUGGGGCUAAUACCGGAUAGGAGCUCCUGCUGCAUGGUGGGGGUUGGAAAGUUUCGGCGGUUGGGGAUGGACUCGCGGCUUAUCAGCUUGUUGGUGGGGUAGUGGCUUACCAAGGCUUUGACGGGUAGCCGGCCUGAGGGGGUGACCGGCCACAUUGGGACUGAGAUACGGCCCAGACUCCUACGGGAGGCAGCAGUGGGGAAUAUUGCACAAUGGGCGGAAGCCUGAUGCAGCAACGCCGCGUGCGGGAUGACGGCCUUCGGGUUGUAAACCGCUUUCGCCUGUGACGAAGCGUGAGUGACGGUAAUGGGUAAAGAAGCACCGGCUAACUACGUG
This 468-nucleotide ribosomal RNA is filed under the name uncultured bacterium. RNAcentral describes it as "partial 16S ribosomal RNA". It matches the Rfam family "Bacterial small subunit ribosomal RNA", at positions 28 to 507 of the family's 1533-position model. The record is from RNAcentral.